This is a long non-coding RNA of Mytilus trossulus (common blue mussel), 448 nucleotides long. RefSeq lists it as uncharacterized. The transcript has 2 exons. The record is from RefSeq and is a predicted model, not a curated record. NCBI's taxonomy places the organism in Eukaryota, Metazoa, Mollusca, Bivalvia, Mytilida, Mytilidae.
UAGUAAGGUCGUCAUAUCGAUGAGCGUUUAGUACAGUGAUUUUGUCAUAGUUUGGAUAAGUUUGACAUGACGGUGUUAAGUCUUUUUGAUGACAAUCAAUGCAGAAAUGUAAACAUUGGGAUAUUUUGUAAAUGGAACUUCUGAUCAUUAAUUCAAGCUGAAGCCAUGCAAUGUUUGACCUACCCCGAAGAUCUACUGCUAAACGUAAAAGUGCAAUCGUGAACCCAUAUGAUGGAUUUGCACAUGGUGCUCAAGGAAUUCGUCAGUUCCAUAGGAAAGAUGAAGAAAAAAUCCAUCCUCAUAAAAGAACAUGUUAUGAUAUCUAAAAAUGUCAUUAUCUUGAAAAUGAGACAAUAUAUCAUUUAAACUUUAUGAAUGCUAGAAAUGAAUCAAAAAUAAACUUUUAAAUGUAUUAAAUACUGAUUAUUUAAUAAAUUAUUUUGUUUUA